CCUACGGGAGGCAGCAGUGGGGGAUAUUGCACAAUGGGGGAAACCCUGAUGCAGCGACGCCGCGUGGGUGAAGAAGUAUUUCGGUAUGUAAAGCCCUAUCAGCAGGGAAGUAAGAAGACGGUAGCUGACUAAGAAGCCCCGGCUAACUACGUGCCAGCAGCCGCGGUAAUACGUAGGGGGCGAGCGUUAGCCGGAUUCACGGGGUGUAAAGGGAGCGUAGACGGCCUUGCAAGCCAGGGGUGAAAGCCCGGGGCACAACCCCGGGACUGCACUUGGAACUGUGCGGCUGGAGUGCGGGAGGGGCGGGCGGAAUUCCUGGUGUAGCGGUGAAAUGCGUAGAUAUCAGGAGGAACUCCGGCGGCGAAGGCAGCCUGCUGGACCGCGACUGACGUUGAGGCUCGAAAGCGUGGGGAGCGAACAGGAUUAGAUACCCGGGUAGUC
RNAcentral lists this ribosomal RNA (441 nucleotides) under uncultured bacterium. RNAcentral's name for it is "partial 16S ribosomal RNA". It matches the Rfam family "Bacterial small subunit ribosomal RNA", at positions 338 to 795 of the family's 1533-position model. The record is from RNAcentral.